Molecule: ribosomal RNA, 264 nt
Filed under: uncultured archaeon
Lineage: Archaea
Description: partial 16S ribosomal RNA
Rfam family: Archaeal small subunit ribosomal RNA
Source: RNAcentral
ACACGACUACAUUAGAUACCCGGGUAGUCCUAGCCGUAAACGAUACUCGCUAGGUGUCGGCCACGGUGCGACCGUUGUCGGUGCCGUAGGGAAGCCGUGAAGCGAGCCACCUGGGAAGUACGGCCGCAAGGCUGAAACUUAAAGGAAUUGGCGGGGAGCACAACAACGGGUGGAGCUUGCGGUUUAAUUGGACUCAACGCCGGAAAACUCAUCGGGAGCGACAGCAGUAUGAUUGCCAGGUUGAUGACCUUGCUUGACAAGCUG